Molecule: ribosomal RNA, 119 nt
Filed under: Oryza rufipogon (brownbeard rice)
Lineage: Eukaryota; Viridiplantae; Streptophyta; Magnoliopsida; Poales; Poaceae
Source: RNAcentral
GGAUGCGAUCAUACCAGCACUAAAGCACCGGAUCCCAUCAGAACUCCGUAGAUAAGCGUGCUUGGGCGAGAGUAGUACUAGGAUGGGUGACCUCCUGGGAAGUCCUCGUGUUGCAUCCC